Molecule: long non-coding RNA, 348 nt
Filed under: Brassica napus (rape)
Lineage: Eukaryota; Viridiplantae; Streptophyta; Magnoliopsida; Brassicales; Brassicaceae
Description: long non-coding RNA (BNAP_LNC013005)
Source: RNAcentral
ACACUCUCCUUUGCCUCCGGUUUCAGUUCUUAAUCGUGUUUUCCUUAUUGUAUUUUGUUGUUGUGGUAGUAGUUUUUUUUUUGGUGUUUGUUUUCUGCUACUAGUAUCUCUAUGUAACUUCUCUCACAAACUUGAAAAUUGGUAAUGCAAUUUUAACAUGUUUACCAAAAAAAAACUCUGUCUUAUCCACCAAACUAUUAGACGCUAAAAACAAACUAUUUAUUCACUAUUCAAAGAAAAACUAUAUUUUUUACACUCGCCUAAGUCCUCAACAACAAAACACAAUCAAAACCAUCAAGAAAGGUUUUCAUUUUGGACUCAAAGAAUGAUUUCUUGUUAAUCAAGCAA